GGUUGGAAGACGAGGAGAACGGACAGCCCCAACUCUGUAUUUUACAGGGGGGGAAGGACGGGGUUGUCUAUGUGGGGAAAUAUUGCUACUACGAUAGCUGUGAAGAAACCGGAGGACCCGGUUGAUUUAAAACAGAUGGAUGGUCCCAGGCGACGUCACUAUCAACCGUCCGCACGAAGCUCGAGAACCUACUGCUGUUAUUCUGAAGGUGCUCAUUUCGUUUACAUCGCUCUGCUCAUACAGACAAGUCGGCAGUUGUGAGAGGCGCUUGACAACCCCACUAGAUCCACCCUUGUCUUCUGAGGGUGUGUGUGUAUCCAGCCUAGCUGCUACUAUCCUUCGCCGCGUGGGUCUGGGUGGGCCCGAGGGGUUGGCUGUUAUCUUUGGUUAUCUAGCUGUAUGAGUGGUGUACAUUCUUCAUAAAGCUAGAUAACCGAAAGUAACAAGAAUCCCAUUGCGCUCCCGCAAGGCCUGUUUCUUGUGCCAACAAACAAAACAAAAUGGCCGACGCCCGAGAGGAAGUGCCCAGCCAACCAAUCAGAAGACUUAAAAGGUGACCCAUCACAUUGGAGUCAUGAUGUCAAGGCCAGUCAUCUGGCUCCGCCUCCCUCUGAAGUCCACCCCACCUCACCAAUGGGGACGUCCAUUUCCGAACGUAAUGGUGCCCACCUGACCUAAAUGGAACCGGAUUGACUCCUCUUGUUAAACCUGAAGCACUUUGUUGACGUUGUAGGAUCUCCCUUUAGUUUGGGUGAACUUUGGGCACAUGCCUGGACUGAACAUGGGGUAAUGUACUGUUGGGUCACGGAUACCAAUGGAUACACAACCACAGCUGAACAUGGGGUAAUGUACUGUUGGGUCACGGAUACCAAUGGAUACUCAACCACAGCUGAACAUGGGGUAAUGUACUGUUGGGUCAUGGAUACCAAUGGAUACACAACCACAGCUGCGUCUGUGGGCCUAACCCCCAGACUGUCUUCUGAACGUCCGGAUAUACCAAUCAAAGUAGAAGUUUCAAACGGACUACUGUGAACUGGUGCGUCUCUGUCCUCCCACAACUAACUGACUGGAUACAUGGACAGAAAUUGACAUACCUGCGCUAAGCAGCUGGAUGUGGACCAUGAUCGCCGAGAAGAACAUAGACUAAUUUGCAUAUUGAAGCAUACUGGACUGGCGUAUGGAAAGCCCAUGAGUCCGAAUGGUAGACACAUAGACCUUGAAGCGGAGUUUUUUGUCCCGGAGCCGGAGUAUACCAUUCAACACAGAGGGCAUAGACCACUAGCCCCGUUGUUUAUGGACGAGUGCUGCGUGAGGGUUUUAGUGAGGGGUGUGAGAAGUGUGCUUGCUGUGUUGUGACGGUACACCGGCCUCUCCGAGACGACUCCACACACAAACAGCUGUAUCUGUCCCAUCUGCCGUACAUUCGGGCCGCGGGUCGGCGCACUGAUCUGUUGACGUGUAUGUGUGCUCGUUUGUUUACUUGUGCUUGUCUGUGUAUGUGCACGCACUUUGCGUCAUCCUCACUCAGCGCAAGUUCUGUUCUCGGAUUGUAAGCAACACACACACACACCACAAGCCAUAGUAAAGGUCUUGUAAGCUGCUUCUGGUUAACGGUCAUUGGAUUUAUUAUGCACUCAUGCUACAGUACAUGGCAAAAAUGAUAUUUGACACUGAAGGAGGUUAUAUGGUUUUAGUAGUGGAAUCCCUCUGCACCACUGAUUUUAUUACCAAGGGGAGGCAAACAAGUAUUUUAUAUUGGACAGACCACAUAGUAUUCCGAUAAUGUGUGUAUAGAUAGAACACAUGAAAUUCAUUAAAAUAGAAACAUAGAAAUGCAUCUUGAAAUCUAUGCAAAUGAAUCAACAAACUAUUUUUUAUCAUUUGCUUAUGAGAAUCAUUCAAAUUCCCUGAGGGUUAUAGGAUUUUUUCCCCAAGGACAAUCUGUUAAAUAUUGUAGGGUGAUGUGAGAGAAAUGAAAUGAAAGUGCAAUAUAGAAAGGUUUCUGCGCUCUGGUCCAGACUAAAAAAUAUGUUGGGAUUUGACACUGUUUUUCUCAACUGCUUUGAUACAUUUUUAAACAAAUGUAUCAAUAUCAAAAUAGAAACAUUGGACUGGUUCAUUUACUUAACUGUGCAGGGACAUCUAUACAUCUUCAGAUUGGUUCUAAUGGAUCCACUGCAACGUUUCAUAUACCUUUUCCCAUGCAACUCCUAUUAUUUCUGGGAUUUCAUGUCAACAUUUUUACUCUAUGCAGCUUCUAUAUUUUGUAACUUUUGCAGCUUUUUGUAAUCAAUAAUGUGACUGUCAUUCGGAGCAACUGCCUUUCAUAUUUUGAUUUCUGUCAUUUUUAGGAUUAACUUCGACAAUGUUGAAAAUGUUUCAUAUUUUUGUUGCUGCAAGUUUUAGAAAAAGUAUGCAAUGGCUGUAUGAAAAAUGUGUUUGAGAGUGUGAUGUGCUGAACGGGUUAACAACAAUGUGUACUCUACAUGAACAACACAUAUGCACUAUAUGAGCAAGUAUGCAAUAUGCUAUAGUCUAGAAAUACUGUUAUCAAGACCACACUAUAUGUAGUGGGUUACUGUGCAAUUUGUUGUGAGGAUUGUGCAAUCAGAGUGAAUGUGGGCUCUACAUGAGGAGUUUAAUAAACUAAACAGUCAGAGUGAAUGUGGGCUCUACAUGAGGAGUUUAAUAAACUAAACAGUCAGAGUGAAUGUGGGCUCUACAUGAGGAGUUUAAUAAACUAAACAGUCAGAGUGAAUGUGGGCUCUACAUGAGGAGUUUAAACUAAACAGUCAGAGUGAAUGUGGGCUCUACAUGAGGAGUUUAAUAAACUAAACAGUCACAGUGAAUGUGGGCUCUACAUGAGCAGUUUAAUAAACUAAACAGUCAGAGUGAAUGUCGGCUCUACAUGAGCAGUUUAAACUAAACAGUCAGAGUGAAUGUGGGCUCUACAUGAGGAGUUUAAACUAAACAGUCAGAGUGAAGUAUCUGUAGAAGUAUCUAUCAUGUAGAAAGCAAGAGUGUAAUUGAUGGAUGGUGUGCACUAUUUGGAAUGUAUGCAAUUUGUAUGGAGGAAGUAUGUACUAUGUUGAGGGUGAAUGCAAUGUUUUAAUGACAAUGUUGGAUUUUAAAGAGAUGCUUGCAUGAGUGCACUAUGUCCCACAAGUGCAUAGCCUAUGUUAGCCAUGUCUGCACAUGACCUCUGAAUCCUAACUGUAUGGGACUGAGUCAUUCUUGUACCAUGUACUGUGUACUAUGCAGGAUUAGUUUAACAAUCAAUAAAUGUUUACAUUGAAAAAAGAAAACACAAAUGU
Non-coding RNA from Salmo salar (Atlantic salmon), 3314 nucleotides. The record is from RefSeq and is a predicted model, not a curated record. Lineage: Eukaryota; Metazoa; Chordata; Actinopteri; Salmoniformes; Salmonidae.